GACAGAGGGUGCAAACGUUGCUCGGAAUCACUGGGCGUAAAGCGCACGUAGGCGGCUUCUUAAGUCAGGGGUGAAAUCCUGGAGCUCAACUCCAGAACUGCCUUUGAUACUGAGAAGCUUGAGUCCGGGAGAGGUGAGUGGAACUGCGAGUGUAGAGGUGAAAUUCGUAGAUAUUCGCAAGAACACCAGUGGCGAAGGCGGCUCACUGGCCCGGAACUGACGCUGAGGUGCGAAAGCGUGGGGAGCAAACAGG
This 253-nucleotide ribosomal RNA is filed under the name uncultured bacterium. RNAcentral's name for it is "partial 16S ribosomal RNA". It matches the Rfam family "Bacterial small subunit ribosomal RNA", at positions 524 to 776 of the family's 1533-position model. The record is from RNAcentral.